ACACGAGAGAGGAGGUGGUCCAAAGUUGUAUAUCGACAGGACUCGUGAGGUGGCUGUCCGCUAGCGGAUGGCACGUGGAGGACUUUGAGCAGCGCUACAGCUGAGCCACCUUCGGCUCAUCGCCUGCUCCACGUGAUGCCUGAUAGCGAAUACCAGGCAGUCACCGUGCCCCCGGGGUUUCCGAGCACCAGUCCGGCUCGGACUCAAGCGUUUGACGGCGCUUGAGAGGCACCCCGGGGGUUCCUUCAU
Non-coding RNA from Amycolatopsis mediterranei S699, 249 nucleotides. Lineage: Bacteria; Bacillati; Actinomycetota; Actinomycetes; Pseudonocardiales; Pseudonocardiaceae. The record is from Rfam.